This 373-nucleotide long non-coding RNA is filed under the name Vigna radiata. RNAcentral's name for it is "long non-coding RNA (VRAD_LNC015414)". The record is from RNAcentral. Lineage: Eukaryota; Viridiplantae; Streptophyta; Magnoliopsida; Fabales; Fabaceae.
UGCAUUUGUCAUCACACCUCUUCACCCAAAUAAAACAAAUAUAUAUUACCGCUUGCUUUUUUUUUUCUUGUUUAAAAAAAUGUAUUCCUUCACAUGUGGCUGGCGGCUAAAUGAAAGCAAAAUAACACUUCUCCCUUCAACCGUGUGAUAAGCAUUGAAAAGCAUGAAUAAAAUAAGCAGCUGCUAAAAGAAAUUGAGAGCUAAAUGUGAUUCAGCGGUUCACCUCAAUUAAGUCCACGCCUCCCAUUGAAUGAAAAAAAAGUAAAUUCAAGAGAUAACCUUCUACAAUUAACGUUUUUAAUGCAACAAAAUAAAUAUGCUUCAGCCUUCUUCCGACACCUACAACCUAAAGCAAAUAAAUCCGCGCCUCCCU